AGAGUUUGAUUCUGGCUCAGAACGAACGCUGGCGGCGCGUUUAAGCAUGCAAGUCGAGCGGCAAGGGCCUUCGGGCCCCUAGAGCGGCGGACGGGUGAGUAACACGUGGACAAUCUGCCCCCCGGCCCGGGAUAGCCCAGGGAAACCUGGAUUAAUACCGGAUGAGACGGGACCCGCGAUGGCGGGACCCGGGAAAGGCGCUGCGGCGCCGCCGGGGGAUGAGUCUGCGUCCCAUUAGCUAGACGGCGGGGUAACGGCCCACCGUGGCGACGAUGGGUAGCCGGCCUGAGAGGGUGGACGGCCACAUUGGAACUGAGACACGGUCCAGACUCCUACGGGAGGCAGCAGCUAAGAAUCUUCCGCAAUGGGCGAAAGCCUGACGGAGCCGACGCCGCGUGAACGAAGAAGGCCGUGAGGUUGUAAAGUUCUUUUCGGGAGGGGGAACAACCGUGGCAGGGAAUGGCCGCGGGAUGACGUGAAUCCCGGAAUAAGCCCCGGCUAACUACGUGCCAGCCGCCGC
This 520-nucleotide ribosomal RNA is filed under the name uncultured bacterium. Its description in RNAcentral is "bacterial SSU rRNA". It matches the Rfam family "Bacterial small subunit ribosomal RNA", at positions 8 to 518 of the family's 1533-position model. The record is from RNAcentral.